Molecule: long non-coding RNA, 646 nt
Organism: Seriola aureovittata
Lineage: Eukaryota; Metazoa; Chordata; Actinopteri; Carangiformes; Carangidae
Exons: 2
Source: RefSeq, a predicted model, not a curated record
CGCCCUGGCUUGGAAGCAAGGAGGGAGGAUAAGUGCUGAGUGAGCAAAGACAACAGCUACUCUGCUGUCUUUCUCAAACAUCUUCAAGGUCCCUCAGAAGGAUAAAUGGCCAACAGGAGGUGCUUUCCCAGGAGAGACUCAUCUGCUGCUUUACGGGGCUCCGGUGUGCGGCGGCGGGGCGGCAGGGCUCUUUGCACUCGCUGUUCCUUUUUCCUAUGCAUAUACCUCUUUGAGAUGUAACUUUAAAGAGGCAUAGGGCAUGGGAAAAUGGGGCUGCAGAGGUAUUCCACCAGGCAGACAGCCGUUUCAUCAUCUUCUCUGCGUGACAGCUGACCUCAAAGCACACACACACACACACACACACACACACACACACCCAGGCUUUAACUUGCCAUGGACUUGCAGAGGAAGACUGCAAAACGUAGACUCUGACACACUGACCAAAGGUAAUUUUCGUGUCUCUAUGAUUCAUUUUUAUGUAAUAUCAUAAGUCAGAUUUCAUCAUACUCAUUCAUGAUGACAUUGUGAAAGUGUGGAAUGAGGUAAUCUUGUAUUCUUGCUACAUCAUUGUCCAUUGAAAACAUCUGUUUGUCUCUGACUGUUUUUGUUUGCUGUUGUUUUUGAAUAAAGACAUCUUGGCAUUAAA